Molecule: long non-coding RNA, 1766 nt
Organism: Panicum hallii
Lineage: Eukaryota; Viridiplantae; Streptophyta; Magnoliopsida; Poales; Poaceae
Exons: 2
Source: RefSeq, a predicted model, not a curated record
UCUUGAAAUCAGCCUGCAGUUCUCUUCCCCUCUGGCUCCCUGCCUCCUCCCUCCCACGAAGCUUCCUCCCUCUCAGGAGAACAUAAUGCACGUAGCAAGGGCGUGACGACGGUGCCGGGUUCCGGCAGGCUCAAUGCCGGAGGGAAAAAUGGAUCUGAGAUUCUGUAUGGAGGCUUGAUGUUGCGAUUGGGCAUGGGGAGGACGGCCAGCAAUGGACCGGUGGCACUGGAUGAGCGAGCGGAAAGCGUGAGACCACCUAGGUUUUGAAGUUGUGCGGCCCUCCUUCGCCUUUCCCAUGACACCAUCUUGCUGCCACUAUAGUAGUAGAUGUGAGGUAAGAAAUUGCUUGCACCACCGUGCCAGUCAAGUUCUUUUUACAUAUCUCUCUCUAUGAUUUCCCUAUUUUCUUCUAUUUUGUACUUGGUAAUUUGUACCUGACGUACAAAUACUUUCUUUUGUUUAAGAAUGCAAAACAACAAUGAUAUAAGCAAGACUUGGUUACUUUUUGUUUGAUAUGCACUUUUUCUAAUUUUCUUCUCAAACUAAUUUCAAAGUAGUACUAGGCAGUGAUUGAUGCCAAAGAAAACAUGUUCUCAUGCACUGUGAAUUAGAAUUUGAGUUAUGGACCUAUGAUGCUUUAGGUUUGGAUCUGAUCAAACCAUGUUAUGUAUCAUUUUUUCACCCCAGGUUUCAGCAAAUUAUGGGCCAAUACUUUUCUGGCCCAUAGGGGGUUAUUGUAGGAUUCAUGAGUUAUUUAGAGUUCUACAUACAAAUAGAAUGCAUGAUCACCGGUAGGAAAGAAAGUAAUUAGUGACCAUUAUAUAUGAUGCUUGGACAAAAGCAGCUUUGUUUUGUUUGGGAGCAUAAUUUGACAUGUAGAAAGAAAUUCAUUGUUGGUGUGUCGCAGCGGUUACAAUUUGUUGGGGGGAUCCCAUUACAACAAUUAUAUCCUGUGAGCUUUAGGUCCAAUGAUCCUUCAUACUUUUCUAUUUAACCAAUUUAAAUUUGUUCGGCUAAGUGAUCCCAAUGUUCUCCGGUGUCACCAAGAGAGAGACCAUGAAACUUUCUUAAAUACUAGUUUCCAAUGUGGCUCUGAUGGAUCUUCAGGUAACUGAUCAGUGAUCACUAAGUUUCCUUGUCAUGCAUAGUAUAGCUGAUAUUCAAACUACAUUGCAGGAAGGAAUAGGAGUCUUUUCCACAAGCUCCUCAUUUAAACUAUUGGGGAUUUACUUGAUUGUGUACAACUGUUGGCGAGGAUUGCCACUUCAUAUUUAGUUGCUCUCAGGGUCUUUAUAUCAGCUUGAAGGAGAAGUUUCAGUUCAUGGAUUUUUGUCAUCUCCAGGAUGCCCUGGCCUAUUCAGGUUCACAUGGUGUUUUGUUUGGGUGUUUAGGGGAAAUAUCCUUGAGGUGCUGAUGCAUUCGCCAGAGAGGAGCACUCAAGUUAUAGUUCUUACUAAUGGUGAACGGAUUUAGGGUCUUGGGGAUCCAGUGGUGCCUCGAGCUCACGUUGCAACUACGAUCUCAUCCUUAACGGCCAGCCACUGCCUUCCCUGAUGAUCCCUGACUUUCCAUGCCAGUCGAUUAAAGAUACAUGUUCAGUAUUUCUGCAGUAUCAAUAUGUUAAAAAAAUAUGUAAUAGUGAUUAUUUCAACUCUACUUUGAAGAAAUGUAUACGUAAACUAGAUAGAAGUUGUAUUGAAAGCAGUAUAACAACUUUUACUUUUCCAAAUAGAAUGUUUUUGUUAUAUUAAUCUUUUGUUCUCUCU